RNAcentral lists this long non-coding RNA (464 nucleotides) under Monodelphis domestica (gray short-tailed opossum). Its description in RNAcentral is "lncRNA (ENSMODG00000032693.2)". Lineage: Eukaryota; Metazoa; Chordata; Mammalia; Didelphimorphia; Didelphidae. The record is from RNAcentral.
AUUGGCAGCCUGCCAAGAUUCUGAGCAGUUAGCCCCUCCCAACUGAUUGACCAAACCUACUCCCAACUGGUUUCAAACUUCCCUGCGGGCUACAACUGACAACCUGGACAUAAAUAGAUGAGGUCUGACAAAAAGGCAUCAAUAAAUUUGGACAAUGCAGUAGUACCUAGGAAAGAAGACAAAAGUAGAAUGACUUGGGCAAUCAGAACAUUGCAGGUUGGCUCAUGGAGCUCAUGAACAGAACACAAGGAUAAAGUUCCAAACAAUGUUGGCGAUUUUUAUAAGAAGGGCCAGUGUACUGGAAGUUUUUCAUUGGUUCCUGUAUUUUUGGAGCUGAGAGACCACUUCUGUCAGAGGGGACUAACUGAAUUUCUGUGGGAAGCCAUUGAACCCUGCCUCUGAGGUUCCUCUCAAUUCGUCAUUUGGUCUAUAAGAAAGAUUUUAUUCACCAGAUUACAUCUGUU